AUCAACUUUCGAUGGUAAGGUAUUGGCUUACCAUGGUUUCAACGGGUAACGGAUUUUUAGGGAAAGAUCCCGGAGAGGGAGCCUGAGAAACGGCUACCACAUCCAAGGAAGGCAGCAGGCGCGCAAAUUACCCAAUCCCGACACGGGGAGGUAGUGACAAUAAAUACUGAUACAGGGCUCUUUUGGGUCUUGUAAUCGGAAUGAGUACAAUUUAAAUACCUUAACGAGGAACAAUUGGAGGGCAAGUCUGGUGCCAGCAGCCGCGGUAAUUCCAGCUCCAAUAGCGUAUAUUAAAGUUGUUGCAGUUAAAAAGCUCGUAGUUGAACCUUGGGCCUGGCUGGCUGGUCCGCCUCACCGCGUGUACUGGUCCGGCCGGGCCUUUCCUUCUGGAGAACCGCAUGCCCUUUACUGGGUGUGUCGGGGAACCAGGACUUUUACUUUGAGAAAAUUAGAGUGUUCAAAGCAGGCCUUUGCUCGAAUACGUUAGCAUGGAAUAAUAGAAUAGGACGUGCGGUCCUAUUUUGUUGGUUUCUAGAACCGCCGUAAUGAUUAAUAGGGAUAGUCGGGGGCGUCAGUAUUCAAUUGUCAGAGGUGAAAUUCUUGGAUCUAUUGAAGACUAACUACUGCGAAAGCAUUCGCCAAGGAUGUUUUCAUUAAUCAGUGAACGAAAGUUAGGGGAUCGAAGACGAUCAGAUACCGUCGUAGUCUUAACCGUAAACUAUGCCGACUAGGGAUCGGGCGAUGUUUCUAUAUUGACUCGCUCGGCACCUUACGAGAAAUCAUAAG
RNAcentral lists this ribosomal RNA (786 nucleotides) under Parathyridaria clematidis. Its description in RNAcentral is "SSU rRNA". It matches the Rfam family "Eukaryotic small subunit ribosomal RNA", at positions 314 to 1103 of the family's 1831-position model. Lineage: Eukaryota; Fungi; Ascomycota; Dothideomycetes; Pleosporales; Thyridariaceae. The record is from RNAcentral.